Trichomycterus rosablanca is the source of this 332-nucleotide long non-coding RNA. RefSeq lists it as uncharacterized. The transcript has 3 exons. NCBI's taxonomy places the organism in Eukaryota, Metazoa, Chordata, Actinopteri, Siluriformes, Trichomycteridae. The record is from RefSeq and is a predicted model, not a curated record.
GUGACCACAAGAGUCACAUCCAAAUGUAAUGAGACACACCCACUAAUCAGACGAAUCUUUUGAACAGCUACGAGGAUGCACAUGGACCGAUGCUACAGAACAAUGGAGAACCUGUACAGUGUGAGAUGUUUGAAGGAGCAGACCUACCUGUGUGGGCACCAAGACCGGUGGAUAUGCCAGCUUGUGAUGCCGGUACAUCCAGAAGGAGAGGAGGGCGAUGGCGGCAAUGCCCAUGAUAGGCACCAAGGAGUAGAGGAGGGUGCUAAACAGCGACGGCUUCUGGGUAAAAGGGUUUGAGGUGGCUGGGGAAAAAAUAAAGUACACAAAAAGAA